GCCAGCAGGAAGGAGAGGUGGCGGGGCGCGCGGUGUGAGGCCCGCCCGUCGCCCGGUGGGAUUCCAACAUGGCGGCGAGGAGAGGUGGAGGCGGGUCUGCUGGCUGCUCCGUGGCGCCACUCUGCCUGCAAGGAGCGUCGUGGUGCCAAAGGGCAGCGGGAUGUGAUGACAGCCUUGACCCAUAUUCGCCUUGAGAACCUUCAACCUCAACACAAGGCAAGCAGUUCAGGCACGCCACCCUGGGUGAGGCAACCACUGUGUCUAAGCGCCUCCUUCAGCGUCUCCCAGGAGCGGCGGCUGUGGGAGCUUGUGGCUUUGGCGAGGGAGGGAGCCUGACUGCAUACGUGAGGAGCAGGGGCCCCGCCAGGGAGGGAGCUGCAGUUUGGUGGCCACGCUACGAAGUGCAGUGUCACUAAGCACACAUGAUUUAUGCACCGUCCCGCAACAAAACAAGGAGAGGGAACUCAUUGCAUAUGAAUGGAACGCUCUCUGCACGCUGAGGAAAGGCAAGAUUGGAGGCAGCACAUCCAAUACCACGCCCACGAAGCAACAGCAACAGGCGGCCUGGAGAGGAGCAAGGGAGAGGGAGGACGGAGGAUGCAGCGACAGACAAGAAGGAAGGAAAGAAUGAUUAACAAGAGAAUACACGCGAUUAAUCCUAUAAGAUAGUCUAUACUUUAAAAUGUUAAGAGAAUAGCAAAGUUUUGAUAACCACCACUCAUGACCGCUGGAAAGAAGUGUCUUCGUUCACAUGUGUGGAUUCCGAUGCUUGGGUGAGUGAUCUAUUAUAAUCAUACAUGCUUACUUCAACGUCACUUGCGCAGCUCUGAUGUGAGUUUACUAGUUUAAUCUAACAUGCAUGGAAGGAAAAUUGGAUUGACAUAAAUAUACACAAAUAAUGUACUUGCCUCUA
Long non-coding RNA from Scylla paramamosain (green mud crab), 913 nucleotides. RefSeq lists it as uncharacterized. The transcript has 3 exons. NCBI's taxonomy places the organism in Eukaryota, Metazoa, Arthropoda, Malacostraca, Decapoda, Portunidae. The record is from RefSeq and is a predicted model, not a curated record.